RNAcentral lists this unclassified non-coding RNA (1128 nucleotides) under Hevea brasiliensis (rubber tree). The record is from RNAcentral. Lineage: Eukaryota; Viridiplantae; Streptophyta; Magnoliopsida; Malpighiales; Euphorbiaceae.
CAGAACUAUAAUUUCGUUCCGUAGCAGAUCAAUCGUUGUUCUUUUCCGGUUCCAUCUGUUCGCCGGUGAUCGGAGAUCUGUGAGAUUCUCACGAUGCUGAAUUUCUUAAAAGGCGUCGUCAGUGGAUCUGGAACAGGCCUCAAAGAUCUGCCAUACAAUAUCGGUGAACCUUAUUCAUCUGCUUGGGGCUCUUGGAUUCAUUACCGUGGCACUUCUAAGGAUGAUGGGACUCCUGUGUCAGUAUUUGCUCUCUCAGGAAGUAGCACAAAUGAUGGACAUCUAGCUGCUGGAAGGAAUGGAGUCAAGAGACUUCGUACAGUUAGGCAUCCAAAUAUUUUGUCAUUUCUCCACAGCACUGAAGCUGAAAAUUUUGAUGGUUCUUCUGCCAAAGUUACCAUCUAUAUUGUUACUGAACCUGUCAUGCCACUCGCUGAGAAGCUUAAGGAAUUAGGAUUAAAAGGUACCCAGAGGGACGAGUAUUAUGCUUGGGGGUUGCAUCGAAUAGCCAAAGCUGUGAGCUUCUUAAAUAACGACUGCAAACUUGUUCAUGGAAAUGUUUGUCUGGCUAGUGUUGUUGUUACGCAAACUCUGGACUGGAAAUUGCACGCCUUUGAUGUGCUUUCUGAGUUUGAUGGACACAAUGAAUCUGCUGUUGGACCAAUGCUGCAAUAUGAUUGGCUUAUUGGUGCACAAUACAAAUCAAAGGAACUGCUGAAGUCUGACUGGACCACAAUCCGAAAGUCUCCACCUUGGACUAUAGAUUCUUGGGGUUUGGGCUGUCUUAUCUAUGAACUGUUUUCUGGCACCAAGUUGAGCAAAACAGAGGACCUGUGCAAUACUGCUUCUAUUCCAAAGUCUCUACUUCCAGAUUAUCAGCGUCUCUUGAGCUCUAUGCCCCCUCGCAGGUUAAAUUCAUCCAAGCUUCUUGAAAAUAGUGAAUAUUUCCAAAAUAAGUUGGUGGAGACUAUUCAAUUCAUGGAAAUACUUAAUCUUAAGGAUAGUGUAGAAAAAGACACUUUCUUCCGUAAGCUUCCAAAUCUAGCAGAGCAACUUCCUCGCGAAAUUGUGCUGAAGAAGUUGCUUCCUUUGCUAGCUUCUGCAUUAGAAUUUGGUUCAGCUGCUGCUCCU